UCCGGUUUAACACCGGCAGUCUCCCUAGAGUCCCCAACUUAAUGUUGGUAACUAAGGACAGGGGUUGCGCUCGUUGCCGGACUUAACCGAACAUUUCACAACACGAGCUGACGACAGCCAUGCAGCACCUGUGCGUGGGUCCCCGAAGGGCGAUCCACAUCUCUGCGGACGUCCCACCAUGUCAAGGCCAGGUAAGGUUCUGCGCGUUGCUUCGAAUUAAACCACAUACUCCACCGCUUGUGCGGGCCCCCGUCAAUUCCUUUGAGUUUUAGCCUUGCGACCGUACUCCCCAGGCGGGAUACUUAAUGCGUGUGCUUUGGUACUCAGAGGGUUAACGCUCCGAACACCGAGUAUCCAUCGUUUACGGCGCGGACUAC
Molecule: unclassified non-coding RNA, 377 nt
Filed under: uncultured Oligoflexaceae bacterium
Lineage: Bacteria; Pseudomonadati; Bdellovibrionota; Oligoflexia; Oligoflexales; Oligoflexaceae
Description: contains 16S-23S intergenic spacer region
Source: RNAcentral